GAACUUAGCAGAGAUGCUUUGGUGCCUUCGGGGAACUCUGAGACAGGUGCUGCAUGGCUGUCGUCAGCUCGUGUUGUGAAAUGUUGGGUUAAGUCCCGCAACGAGCGCAACCCUUAUCCUUUGUUGCCAGCGGUCCGGCCGGGAACUCAAAGGAGACUGCCAGUGAUAAACUGGAGGAAGGUGGGGAUGACGUCAAGUCAUCAUGGCCCUUACGAGUAGGGCUACACACGUGCUACAAUGGCGCAUACAAAGAGAAGCGACCUCGCGAGAGCAAGCGGACCUCAUAAAGUGCGUCGUAGUCCGGAUUGGAGUCUGCAACUCGACUCCAUGAAGUCGGAAUCGCUAGUAAUCGUGGAUCAGAAUGCCACGGUGAAUACGUUCCCGGGCCUUGUACACACCGCCCGUCACACCAUGGGAGUGGGUUGCAAAAGAAGUAGGUAGCUUAACCUUCGGGAGGGCGCUUACCACUUUGUGAUUCAUGACUGGGGUGAAGUCGUAACAAGGUAAGCGUAGUGCU
RNAcentral lists this ribosomal RNA (517 nucleotides) under uncultured bacterium. Its description in RNAcentral is "bacterial SSU rRNA". It matches the Rfam family "Bacterial small subunit ribosomal RNA", at positions 993 to 1509 of the family's 1533-position model. The record is from RNAcentral.